UUUUGAGUAGUUUAAUUGAAAACAUUUCUUUUUCAGAGAAAAAAUGGUGAAAGCCCUCAAAAU
This 63-nucleotide transfer RNA is filed under the name Bothriometopus macrocnemis. RNAcentral describes it as "tRNA-Glu". The record is from RNAcentral. Lineage: Eukaryota; Metazoa; Arthropoda; Insecta; Psocodea; Philopteridae.